GAUGAACGCUGGCGGCGUGCCUAAUACAUGCAAGUCGAGCGAACAGAUGAGGAGCUUGCUCCUCUGACGUUAGCGGCGGACGGGUGAGUAACACGUGGAUAACCUACCUAUAAGACUGGGAUAACUUCGGGAAACCGGAGCUAAUACCGGAUAAUAUAUUGAACCGCAUGGUUCAAUAGUGAAAGACGGUUUUGCUGUCACUUAUAGAUGGAUCCGCGCCGCAUUAGCUAGUUGGUAAGGUAACGGCUUACCAAGGCAACGAUGCGUAGCCGACCUGAGCGGGUGAUCGGCCACACGGGAACUGAGACACGGUCCAGACUCCGACGGGAGGCAGCAGUAGGGAAUCUUCCGCAAUGGGCGAGAGCCUGACGGAGCAACGCCGCGUGAGUGAUGAAGGUCUUCGGAUCGGAAAACUCUGUUAUUAGGGAAGAACAAAUGUGUAAGUAACUAUGCACGUCUUGACGGUACCUAAUCAGAAAGCCACGGCUAACUACGUG
Molecule: ribosomal RNA, 497 nt
Filed under: uncultured bacterium
Lineage: Bacteria
Description: partial 16S ribosomal RNA
Rfam family: Bacterial small subunit ribosomal RNA
Source: RNAcentral